Molecule: long non-coding RNA, 1344 nt
Filed under: Arabidopsis lyrata
Lineage: Eukaryota; Viridiplantae; Streptophyta; Magnoliopsida; Brassicales; Brassicaceae
Description: long non-coding RNA (ALYR_LNC000187)
Source: RNAcentral
UUAUAGAAAUGAAAGAAGGGGGCUUUUCUCUCUCUUCUCUCAGUCUCGACCUUUCAGAGAGGGAAAGCUUUCCCGGUGAUCUACUCUCUUCCGGCGGUGGUUAGCUUCGUCAGUGGCAUCAGCCGGCUCCUAUCUGACAUCGUUGGCUUCCUUAGUCACGAUGGUCAAUCUAUUUCCGGCAUCGGUGGCUCCUUAGCACCGUUUGGCCGACUUUGGCUCCGGCAUGCGUCGGCUUUUUAUGAGACGAUGUCCGGCUUUUGGCUCCGGUAUGCGUCGGCUUUCUAUGCGACGAUAUCCGGCUUUGUGUUUGGUGAUUUCGCCGCAGUCUCUCUGGAGGUUUCGGCCAACUUUACUCCGGUGUUAGAUCCGGCUUUCUCGUUGGUUUUUUGGCUGGGGAUUGAUGGUCUAUGGCUAGUUAGCACGGGUGUUGAUCCUCCUUAUAGUUUUAUUUUUCCUGUUUUGUUGAAAUCUUUGGUGGUUGAUGAGCCUUUGCUUUGGAAGUAACAGAACUGAUUCAAUUUGGGGUGAAGAUGAUGACGUCGAUGUGGAGUGAAGUCGGCGGUGCUGAACCCCUUUGUUAUUUCUUGCAGCUCUCAUAUUGGAAGGCAUAUCUCAUCUUGGAAGGCAUAUUUCACCUUGGAAGGUUGCUGGACUAGAGGUUUUGUCCUUGUGUUGCCACUUUGGAUUUUAUUUUCAUCGAUGUAGGCACUUUAAUUCUGUUUUUAGCUUGGGAUUGAGAUCUUGGCUAAGGAAUUAUUGUGUUGUUUACUGGUUUGUGUUACGGCUUUUUGGGAGUGGUUGUGGAUUGAAGCCUUAGUUUUAAGUCUUGGGUUGGCUUUCUUGACUCCUAGUUCUGCCUCUCUGUUACUUCAUAUCUGGUGAUUGGUGUUGUGAGUUGGUGAAGGUUUCGAUUUGUGGGUUCUUCAUUUGGAUGGUAGCUUUCUGCAUAGGCAUCUACUAGCUCCUAUUUGUGUCUUUGUUUAGGCUUCAGAUUUGGGUUCACGACGAUGCGGCGGGUUCGGUCUCUAUUCCUUCUCUUGCGUGGCGUAACUAGUUCUUAGUUUGUAGAUGGCUUUGGCUGGGUCUACGAAUGUCCGCGUGUAAGAAAUGGGGGUCCUCUUUGGCGUUUUCCCCUUCGGAUCUCAAGGUUUCUCCUUGUUCCUUUGCUUUCUCGUCUUCUCUGGUGGCUGGAAGGUAGUAUUGGUUUGGUUCUAUGCUCUACUCUACUUGAUUAUUCGUCUUCGUUUCUGCUGAGGUUGUGGUUGUGUGAGUUCGGUCUAGUCCCUUUCUCGGGCUUUCUCUUUUGAAGGCAUUCUAAUGAUUCGCUUUUCUUCGAGGCUCAUG